Molecule: ribosomal RNA, 500 nt
Filed under: uncultured bacterium
Lineage: Bacteria
Description: partial 16S ribosomal RNA
Rfam family: Bacterial small subunit ribosomal RNA
Source: RNAcentral
AUUGAACGCUGGCGGCAGGCCUAACACAUGCAAGUCGAGCGGAUGAAGAGGGCUUGCUCUCUGAUUCAGCGGCGGACGGGUGAGUAAUGCCUAGGAAUCUGCCUGGUAGUGGGGGACAACGUUUCGAAAGGAACGCUAAUACCGCAUACGUCCUACGGGAGAAAGUGGGGGAUCUUCGGACCUCACGCUAUCAGAUGAGCCUAGGUACGAUAAGCUAGUUGGUGAGGUAAAGGCUAACCAAGGCGACGAUCGUUAACUGGUCUGAGAGGAUGAUCAGUCACACUGGAACUGAGACACGGUCCAGACUCCUACGGGAGGCAGCAGUGGGGAAUAUUGGACAAUGGGCGAAAGCCUGAUCCAGCCAUGCCGCGUGUGUGAAGAAGGUCUUCGGAUUGUAAAGCACUUUAAGUUGGGAGGAAGGGCAGUAAGUUAAUACCUUGCUGUUUUGACGUUACCGACAGAAUAAGCACCGGCUAACUUCGUGCCAGCAGCCGCCGUAA